CCAUCUCCAAUAUUCAGAAAUCUCUCACCAUCUUCAAAACUCCUACUGAUUUGAAGUCCUUGCAAUGAAUUGUAAAUGUUAAUAGGACUAUCAAUAUCUAAUACUCAGGUCAUUAUAUCACAAAUUGAGAAGUUACAAGAAGUUAUUAUAUAAUUACCUUGCUUAGCAACCGAUUACUUCUUCUUCUUUGGCCUGUUCGGAUCAAGAAAAGUAAUGUAUUGAGGAUAGUUUCUCUUUCAAUGAUCCU
This 247-nucleotide long non-coding RNA is filed under the name Elaeis guineensis (African oil palm). RNAcentral's name for it is "long non-coding RNA (EGUI_LNC024725)". Lineage: Eukaryota; Viridiplantae; Streptophyta; Magnoliopsida; Arecales; Arecaceae. The record is from RNAcentral.